RNAcentral lists this unclassified non-coding RNA (1432 nucleotides) under Hevea brasiliensis (rubber tree). The record is from RNAcentral. Lineage: Eukaryota; Viridiplantae; Streptophyta; Magnoliopsida; Malpighiales; Euphorbiaceae.
ACCCCGCUGGAGGGGGGGCGGGUGGGGGGGCCUUUUGGGGGGGGGGUGUGGCGGGGCCUCCCCCAGCGGGCGGCAGCAGCAGCGGCGGCAACAACAACAAAAGCAACAGCGGCAGCUGGAGAACCGGUGAGUUUAGCUCAUUCGAAAUCGGAGAAGAUGAAGGGGCUUUUCAAGAAUAAGCCUCGUACUCCUACCGAUAUCGUUCGUCAGACUCGAGAUAUCCUCAUCUAUGCCGACCGCACCUCCUCCUCCGAUCCACGAGAUGCCAAGCGUGAAGAAAAGAUGGCAGAGCUGUCUAAAAAUAUCAGGGAUUUAAAGUCAAUUCUUUAUGGCAAUAGUGAAUCUGAGCCGAUUGCAGAAGCUUGUGCACAAUUGACUCAAGAGUUUUUCAGAGAAAAUAAUCUCCGUCUUUUGAUCAUUUGUCUUCCGAAAUUGAACUUGGAGACCCGAAAAGAUGCCACUCAAGUUGUUGCAAAUUUACAAAGACAACAAGUUCAGUCACGGUUGAUUGCAUCUGAAUACCUGGAAAAGAACACAGAUCUUUUGGAUAUUUUAAUAGGAGGUUAUGAAAACUCAGACAUGGCCUUACACUAUGGUGCAAUGUUGAGGGAGUGCAUACGUCACCAGAGUGUUGCGAGAUAUGUUCUCGAAUCAGAGAAUAUGAAGAAAUUCUUUGAUUAUAUACAACUUCCAAAUUUUGACAUUGCAGCAGAUGCUGCUGCUACUUUUAAGGAACUCCUGACAAGACAUAAAUCUACGGUAGCAGAAUUUCUNNNNNNUAUGAAUGGUUCUUUGCAGAGUAUAAUUCAAAGCUACUAGAAUCUGUCAAUUACAUUACCAGGCGACAAGCUAUCAAGCUGUUGGGAGAUAUAUUACUGGAUCGCUCAAAUUCAGUUGUGAUGACACGAUAUGUGAGCUCAAGGGAUAACUUGAGGAUUCUUAUGAAUCUUCUCAGAGAAUCCAGUAAAAGCAUCCAGACAGAAGCAUUUCAUGUUUUCAAGCUCUUUGUUGCAAAUCAAAAUAAACCUCCCGACAUUAUUACCAUACUCGUAGCAAAUAGAAGCAAACUUUUGCGUUUGUUUGCUGAUUUCAAAACUGAUAAAGAGGAUGAACAAUUUGAAGCGGACAAAGCGCAAGUUGUGAAAGAAAUAGCUGCCCUUGAACCUAGAGACCGGACAUGAGUGAGUUUGGUUCACUUGUUGUAAUAUCAUUUUAUUUGCCUUGUUAAAUUUCAUCUGUGAAUUAUAUAUAAAUAGCCUAAUCAUGAUACCAGUAAUCAAUAUCCGAGAAAAACCUUUAUUUUUUCCAUGUACUUUUCCUCUCGGUCACACCUUUGGGCAGUUUCUGAUUCCAUCAUUCUGUAUUUUAAUAAGAAGACGAGAGUGUUAAUGCUAUGUUUGGCCAUUUAUAUAUAAUUCACAGAUGAAAUUUA